RNAcentral lists this ribosomal RNA (460 nucleotides) under uncultured bacterium. RNAcentral's name for it is "partial 16S ribosomal RNA". It matches the Rfam family "Bacterial small subunit ribosomal RNA", at positions 338 to 795 of the family's 1533-position model. The record is from RNAcentral.
CCUACGGGUGGCAGCAGUGAGGAAUAUUGGUCAAUGGACGAGAGUCUGAACCAGCCAAGUAGCGUGAAGGAUGACUGCUCUAUGGGUUGUAAACUUCUUUUAUAUGGGAAUAAAAUGAGGCACGUGUGCCUUUUUGUAUGUACCUUAUGAAUAAGGAUCGGCUAACUCCGUGCCAGCAGCCGCGGUAAUACGGAGGAUCCGAGCGUUAUCCGGAUUUAUUGGGUUUAAAGGGAGCGUAGAUGGGUUGUUAAGUCAGUUGUGAAAGUUUGCGGCUCAACCGUAAAAUUGCAGUUGAAACUGGCAGUCUUGAGUACAGUUGAGGUAGGCGGAAUGCGUGGUGUAGCGGUGAAAUGCUUAGAUAUCACGAAGAACCCCGAUUGCGAAGGCAGCUUACUAAACUGUGACUGACAUUGAUGCUCGAAAGUGUGGGUAUCAAACAGGAUUAGAUACCCGAGUAGUC